GAGCCCGUAGCUCAGGGGUAGAGCACGCGCCUUUUAAGCGUGGGGCCGUGGGUUCGAAUCCCACCGGGCUCA
RNAcentral lists this transfer RNA (72 nucleotides) under bacterium. Its description in RNAcentral is "tRNA-Lys". It matches the Rfam family "tRNA". Rfam says of the family: Transfer RNA (tRNA) molecules are approximately 80 nucleotides in length. Their secondary structure includes four short double-helical elements and three loops (D, anti-codon, and T loops). The record is from RNAcentral. RNAcentral also lists the same sequence under 2 other names.